UGGGGAAUAUUGCGCAAUGGGGGAAACCCUGACGCAGCCAUGCCGCGUGAGUGAAGAAGGUCUUCGGAUCGUAAAGCUCUUUCAACGGUGAAGAUGAUGACGGUAGCCGUAGAAGAAGCCCCGGCUAACUUCGUGCCAGCAGCCGCGGUAAUACGGAGGGUGCGAGCGUUAAUCGGAAUUAUUGGGCGUAAAGAGCUCGUAGGCGGUCCGUUGCGUCUGCCGUGAAAACCCGGAGCUCAACUCCGGGCCUGCGGUGGAUACGGGCGGACUAGAGUCCGGUAGGGGAGACUGGAAUUCCUGGUGUAGCGGUGGAAUGCGCAGAUAUCAGGAGGAACACCGGUGGCGAAGGCGGGUCUCUGGGCCGGAACUGACGCUGAGGAGCGAAAGCGUGGGGAGCGAACAGGAUUAGAUACCCUGGUAGUCCACGCCGUAAACGGUGGGCGCUAGGUGU
RNAcentral lists this ribosomal RNA (451 nucleotides) under uncultured bacterium. Its description in RNAcentral is "bacterial SSU rRNA". It matches the Rfam family "Bacterial small subunit ribosomal RNA", at positions 355 to 823 of the family's 1533-position model. The record is from RNAcentral.